Molecule: ribosomal RNA, 466 nt
Filed under: uncultured bacterium
Lineage: Bacteria
Description: partial 16S ribosomal RNA
Rfam family: Bacterial small subunit ribosomal RNA
Source: RNAcentral
GACGAACGCUGGCGGCGUGCUUAACACAUGCAAGUCGUGCGGUAAUGCCCUUUCGGGGGUCCACGAGCGGCGUACGGGUGCGUAACACGUUAGCAACCUGCCCUUCCCUUUGGGUUAACUUCCGGAAACGGUGGCUACUACCGUAUAUGACUUCCUCACGCAUGUGGGGUGGUGGCAAGCCUUCGGGUGGUUGGGGGUGGGCUCGCGGCCUAUCAGCUUGUUGGUGGGGUGGUGGCCUACCAAGGCUUCGACGGGUAGCCGGCCUGGGAGGGUGACCGGCCACACUGGGACUGAGACACGGCGCAGACUCCUAAGGGAGGCAGCAGAGGGGAAGAUUGGACAAGGGGGGAAAGCCUGAUCCAGCAGCGGCGGGGGAGGGAGGAGGGCCGUCGGGUUGAAAACCUCUUUGGCCAGGGACGAAGAGGGAGUGAAGGUAGCAGGUAAAGAAGCACCGGCUAAAUACGUG